This 274-nucleotide ribosomal RNA is filed under the name uncultured bacterium. RNAcentral describes it as "partial 16S ribosomal RNA". It matches the Rfam family "Bacterial small subunit ribosomal RNA", at positions 523 to 796 of the family's 1533-position model. The record is from RNAcentral.
AUACGGGGGGUGCAAGUGUUAUUCGGAUUUAUUGGGCGUAAAGGGCGCGUAGGCGGCUUGGUAAGUCAGAUGUGAAAGCCCGGGGCUUAACCCCGGAAGUGCAUUUGAAACUAUCGGGCUUGAGUAUGGGAGAGGGAAGUGGAAUUCCUGGUGUAGAGGUGAAAUUCGUAGAUAUCAGGAGGAACACCGGUGGCGAAGGCGACUUCCUGGACCAAUACUGACGCUGAGGCGCGAAGGCGUGGGGAGCAAACAGGAUUAGAAACCCCAGUAGUCC